RNAcentral lists this ribosomal RNA (600 nucleotides) under uncultured bacterium. RNAcentral's name for it is "bacterial SSU rRNA". It matches the Rfam family "Bacterial small subunit ribosomal RNA", at positions 9 to 650 of the family's 1533-position model. The record is from RNAcentral.
GAGUUUGAUCAUGGCUCAGGAUGAACGCUGGCGAGAUGCUUUACACGUGCAAGUCGUACGAGAGUUUUUAACUCAAGUGGCGGACGAGUGAGUAACACGUAAGAAUUUACCUCUAGGAGGGGGACAACAGUUGGAAACGGCUGCUAAUACCCCAUAUGCUUUCGAGUGAAAUGGAUUUUUCCGCCUAGAGAGAAGCUUGCGGCUGAUUAGCUUGUUGGUGAGGUAAUGGCUUACCAAGGCGACGAUCAGUAUCUGGUUUGAGAGGACGAUCAGACACACUGGAACUGAGACACGGUCCAGACUCCUACGGGAGGCAGCAGUGGGGAAUUUUCCGCAAUGGGCGAAAGCCUGACGGAGCAAUCUCGCGUGAGGGAUGACUGCCUAUGGGUUGUAAACCUCUUUUUUCAGGGAGGAAUUAAUGACGUUACCUGAAGAAUAAGCAUCAGCUAACUCCGUGCCAGCAGCCGCGGUAAGACGGAGGAUGCAAGUGUUAUCCGGAAUCACUGGGCGUAAAGCGUCUGUAGGUGGUUUAGUAAGUCAACUGUUAAAUCUUGAAGCUUAACUUCAAAAUCGCAGUCGAAACUAUUAGACUAGAGUAUA